AGAGUUUGAUCCUGGCUCAGGAUGAACGCUGGCGGCGUGCCUAAUACAUGCAAGUCGAGCGAACCACUUCGGUGGGAAGCGGCGAACGGGUGAGUAACACGUAGGUGAUCUGCCCAUCAGACGGGGACAACGAUUGGAAACGAUCGCUAAUACCGGAUAGGACGAAAGUUUAAAGAUGCUCCUGGCAUCACUGAUGGAUGAGCCUGCGGCGCAUUAGCUAGUUGGUGGGGUAAAGGCCUACCAAGGCGACGAUGCGUAGCCGACCUGAGAGGGUGAACGGCCACACUGGGACUGAGACACGGCCCAGACUCCUACGGGAGGCAGCAGUAAGGAAUCUUCGGCAAUGGGCGAAAGCCUGACCGAGCAACGCCGCGUGAAUGAAGAAGGCCUUCGGGUUGUAAAAUUCUGUUAUAAGGGAAGAAAGGUGAUAGGAGGAAAUGACUAUCAAUUGACGGUACCUUAUGAGAAAGCCACGGCUAACUACGUG
This 487-nucleotide ribosomal RNA is filed under the name uncultured Turicibacter sp. RNAcentral's name for it is "bacterial SSU rRNA". It matches the Rfam family "Bacterial small subunit ribosomal RNA", at positions 8 to 507 of the family's 1533-position model. Lineage: Bacteria; Bacillati; Bacillota; Erysipelotrichia; Erysipelotrichales; Turicibacteraceae. The record is from RNAcentral.